GAUGAAGAACGCAGUGAAAUGCGAUACGUAAUGUGAAUUGCAGAAUUCAGUGAAUCAUCGAGUCUUUGAACGCACAUUGCGCCCCCUGGUAUUCCGGGGGGCAUGCCUGUCCGAGCGUCAUUGCUGCCCUCAAGCACGGCUUGUGUGUUGGGCCUCCGUCCUCCUCCCGGGGGACGGGCCCGAAAGGCAGCGGCGGCACCGCGUCCGGUCCUCGAGCGUAUGGGGCUUCGUCACCCGCUCUUGUAGGCCCGGCCGGCGCUUGCCGACACAUCAAUCUUUUAUCCAGGUUGACCUCGGAUCAGGUAGGGAUACCCGCUGAACUUAAGCAUAUCAAUAAGCGGAGGA
Molecule: unclassified non-coding RNA, 345 nt
Filed under: soil metagenome
Description: partial contains 5.8S ribosomal RNA, internal transcribed spacer 2, and large subunit ribosomal RNA
Rfam family: 5.8S ribosomal RNA (bases 1-120)
Source: RNAcentral